Non-coding RNA from Poecilia reticulata (guppy), 163 nucleotides. NCBI's taxonomy places the organism in Eukaryota, Metazoa, Chordata, Actinopteri, Cyprinodontiformes, Poeciliidae. The record is from RefSeq and is a predicted model, not a curated record.
AGAAAGGAUUGUACAAGACCGGAACCUACUCCGCCAUCCCUGUCCGCUCUCCAACGUUUUCUAGUUCACGCCACAUAUCCACCCAUCUCAAUAGACGACCUGGUUCUUCAUUCCAGUAUUCACCACCCUUCCCCUGACUUCAAUAAAUCAUUAUUGUAUUCAU